RNAcentral lists this long non-coding RNA (847 nucleotides) under Homo sapiens (human). RNAcentral describes it as "non-protein coding LINC01413:2". Lineage: Eukaryota; Metazoa; Chordata; Mammalia; Primates; Hominidae. The record is from RNAcentral.
AGGAAAUGUGCCGUGAAUGGAUGGUGAACAGGAAGGGACACUGAAGAAGGAGGCGGUACUGAGAGCAGCCAUCUUGGAGCUUGGAAACGGAGACGCAUGUGAAGCCGUUUGCACAGUAUUUUUCCCUUAAAAUAUGGGUGGGGAACAAGGGGCUGUCAUUUGUCUUUUUCUUUGGGAUGGUGAGCAGUGAGCAGGGCACGCCGCGAGGAGCAAACUGCAGCCCAAGCACACGCGGUCAGCACGCGGAGCACAGGUGGGGAGAAGCGGCUGACGGUGGCGUGGCCCCGCGUACCUGGGUGUGGACGCCCCGCCGCCCCGCAGGGGAAAGCUCCUGGAGUCUGGGGUCUGCUGCCCCGAGCUCUGGGUGUCCAGGACAAUCAUGCUGGCUGUUAGUGAAGAAUGGCCUGGAGCACUGGGUCUCCGCCCCAGCUGCCUGGGAGAAACUGUGUUGAAGGAGCCAUACCCCCUGGCCUCCCCUCCAGACUCCAGACAACCCCAGUCAGCUGGCUGGGAGGGAGGCAGAAGAGAAACAGGGGUGCACCUGGGGCUCCUGCAGGGGUCCAGCCAGGAGAUGGGGGCAACUUGGACAGGGACGAUCCUGGGAAGGGCAGGAGGAGGAGUGAGACCUGGCCUGCCCUCUCCCUAGAGGCUCAUCAGCUCCCUGGAGACAGACACGCCCUGGUUCCUUUCCCUAUGCCUGGAGCCUGGGUACCAGCUAUUGAAAACUGCUUUUCUCCUUGUUCAUUCAAACAUAUUCACACAUAAAGGUUGUCAUUCCUUUUUGUCACUAUUUGACAAAAAUUGGAUCAUACCGUAUACAAUUCUCUGCUAUUUGUUUUGCUCACCU